This 425-nucleotide ribosomal RNA is filed under the name uncultured prokaryote. RNAcentral describes it as "bacterial SSU rRNA". It matches the Rfam family "Bacterial small subunit ribosomal RNA", at positions 355 to 796 of the family's 1533-position model. The record is from RNAcentral.
UAACGAAUAUUCCGCAAUGCGCGAAAGCGUGACGGAGCAAUGCCGCGUGCAGGAUGAAGCCCCUCGGGGUGUAAACUGCUGUCAGGGUUUAGAAACACAAUGAUCAGACCCAAAGGAAGAGCCGGCUAACUCUGUGCCAGCAGCCGCGGUAAUACAGAGGGCUCAAGCGUUAAUCGGUGUCACUGGGCUUAAAGGGUGCGUAGGCGGGCCUGUAAGUGUCUUGUGAAAUCCCACGGCUCAACCGUGGAAUUGCUUGGCAUACUGCAGGCCUUGAGGUCGGUAGGGGCUGCCGGAACUCUAGGUGUAGCGGUGAAAUGCGUAGAUAUCUAGAGGAACGCCAAAGGUGAAGACAGGCAGCUGGGCCGAUCCUGACGCUGAGGCACGAAAGCGUGGGUAGCGAACGGGAUUAGAUACCCCCGUAGUCC